GACGAACGCUGGCGGCGUGCUUAACACAUGCCAGUCGAACGGUGAAGCGCCUUCCUUUUUGGUGGGUGUGGAUGAGUGGCGAACGGGUGAGUAACGCGUGAGUAACCUGCCCCCUUCUUCUGGAUAACCGCAUGAAAGUGUGGCUAAUACGGGAUAUUCUGGGUCUGUCGCAUGAUGGGUCUGGGAAAGAUAUUGUUUCGGUGGGGGAUGGGCUCGCGGCCUAUCAGCUUGUUGGUGGGGUGAUGGCCUACCAAGGCGGUGACGGGUAGCCGGCCUGAGAGGGUGGACGGUCACACUGGGACUGAGACACGGCCCAGACUCCUACGGGAGGCAGCAGUGGGGAAUAUUGCACAAUGGGCGCAAGCCUGAUGCAGCGACGCCGCGUGGGGGAUGGAGGCCUUCGGGUUGUGAACCUCUUUCGCCAGUGAAGCAGGCCUGCCUCGUUUGUGGGUGGGUUGACGGUAGCUGGAUAAGAAGCGCCGGCUAACUACGUG
Molecule: ribosomal RNA, 494 nt
Filed under: uncultured bacterium
Lineage: Bacteria
Description: partial 16S ribosomal RNA
Rfam family: Bacterial small subunit ribosomal RNA
Source: RNAcentral